RNAcentral lists this unclassified non-coding RNA (70 nucleotides) under Aquamicrobium aerolatum DSM 21857. RNAcentral describes it as "suhB". The record is from RNAcentral. Lineage: Bacteria; Pseudomonadati; Pseudomonadota; Alphaproteobacteria; Hyphomicrobiales; Phyllobacteriaceae.
GAGUUUUGCCUUUGAGGCACUCCAACGACUCAGCCGGAUCUUCCUAGAUCCGGCUUUUUUCGUUCAGAUG